CACGUAGGGGGCGAGCGUUGUCCGGAUUUAUUGGGCGUAAAGAGCUCGUAGGCGGUCUGUCGCGUCGGUCGUGAAAACUUGGGGCUUAACCCUGAGCUUGCGGUCGAUACGGGCAUGACUGGAGUUCGGCAGGGGAGACUGGAAUUCCUGGUGUAGCGGUGAAAUGCGCAGAUAUCAGGAGGAACACCGGUGGCGAAGGCGGGUCUCUGGGCCGAUACUGACGCUGAGGAGCGAAAGCGUGGGGAGCGAACAGG
RNAcentral lists this ribosomal RNA (254 nucleotides) under uncultured bacterium. Its description in RNAcentral is "partial 16S ribosomal RNA". It matches the Rfam family "Bacterial small subunit ribosomal RNA", at positions 524 to 776 of the family's 1533-position model. The record is from RNAcentral.